UCCGACCAAAGACCUUGCCGGCCGUCCAGCAAACAAUCCAGCAUCCCCCUCGAACUCCAACGGGGGGAGCGUGUGCUCAAGAGAAUCAUCAGAAUCUACCCGGUCACUCCAUAGUCUGGGAGGUGCCGAGGCUGGCUCAAAGGACCCAAAAGGCAGAGUAGUCAUGGGCACCGCUGGGGAAGCUGCAGGCUCAACCCCGGUCCCAGCCCCAGGCAACUGAGAAGAACCCUUAGACCCCUCGCGCGUGGGCUGAUCGGACGGUGCCCCCUCGGCCCCGGCAUUGCCAUCACUGUCGUGCAUGUGAACAUCGUUACCAUUAUCCGCAUCAUCAAAUAAAGCAGUGUCCUCAAACUCGAUGUCUAGCGGGAACACCUCUCCCCUGUAGGUCCAGUUGACCUUAUCGGGCACGAACUCAAUAUCCAGAACACUCACUAAUAGCCGGGCCACCCCAUGGGCACGUGUGAAAGCCAUAUCCACUUUUUCUGUCUUCCCCACCAUGAUUCCCAUACUAGCCACACUCGAGCGUCCUGCAGAGGCUUAGAUGGGGCCCCUGUAAACUGCAACUAGACCUGCGUAAGCGGCUUUCCCUUAGGCUCAACUUGCUUCCACUCGUGGAACUCCAGGAUACACUUAGUAUCGGGUACUCUACAUAAGCCAAAGCUCAACAAUCUCUGCAAAUCAUCCACAGUUGGGAACUCAACCUUAAAAGACCUGUCCUCAAUAAGCACCAAUUCCCAUCGAAAAUCCCCGGGAGCCAGGUCCUGAAGCCUCCUCACAAUCUGUGCCUCAGUCACCUCGCCCUGGGUUGCUUUCACAAUCCCGGUAGUCAAGCUCAGGGUAUCCUCCGGGACCUCUCUCGCCGCCGGGGACUCAAAAAACAUGAGCUCAGCACAAUAGACUCCAUACAUAUUCAGCGUCGGAGGCAGGUCACGCAACAAUGGGCACUCCCCGAGUCAUGUGCAGGCUUGCCACACGACUCGCACAGCUGGGCCACACACUCAGCAAUGAAGUGGCCCUUCUCACCGCAACGGUAACAAAUAAUUCUCUCCUUCUUACGUGCAUAUUUGGACGCCCUGUCGGUAUCAGUCCUGUCAGUAGUCUCAUCCACCAUCCCAGCCUCAGGAACCUCGACACUAGCCAAGGUGUUAACCACCUCCAUCGCCUGGGCAGGAAGCUUAGUGGAAGUAUGGUCAGACUCCACUGCAGGCGUCGCAGGAUCAACUGCCCUGGGCGGGGGCGGUCGGCGAAAUCUUCCACGGCCCCCACCCCGACCACCACGAUGUCCUUGAAAGCCUCCUCUAUGACGGUGAUCCGGGCCAGAAGCCCCCUCGACAAAUCCACCUGCCGGACCGAGAAACGGUCUCUCAGUAGACCCGUCACUCUGCCAGGCAUAUCCGCGACCUCCUCCUGAGGAGGAAGAACCUCGAUGCCGUCCUUCCCCAUAUGCAUCAUACCCGUCAUCCCCCCACUGGCCUCGGAGCAGAUCAUUGGGCUGUUUGUUGCUAGAAUCCUGCGUCGUGAGCGUCGCACCCACACGGUUCUGAGGCGGUCUUGCGACGUAGUGGGGCGGCGGAGCGGCACGAUGCGGACCGCCCGCCGGCUUCUGCACCACCCCAGGCGCAGUACUGCCGUGGCCAGCCGGAACAACAGCAGGCACGACCGGCGCAGGCGGCCGGGGGGCAGCACGUCCCGCAGCUGGCAGGGCCACGGGCGCCCCUCCCAGCGCUGGCGGUCUCAGCCUGCCUCGCCCUGCAGCAGGUGGCAUCUGCCCCGAAGGCCGGCUACUCUGGUUGCCAGCGCCUCGGCCCGGAUGAGCCAGGGCCACCCCGCCCCCCGCCGGCGGCCUCUGACCAACAGCCGGCACUGGCGGCAAAGCCGGCCCGCCCCUUCCUGCAGAAUUGGUAUUCGGUGGAGGCGGCGGCGCAGCCCCGCGGCCUGCCAUCGCAGAGAGCGGCCGGAUCCUUCUCGCCCGCCCGGCGCCAUAGACCGGGAAUCCUCUCUUCCCUAGCCUGCGAACCCUAGAACCCUUGAGAGACGGCGCAGUACAGGAAACAUGAAUGCCCUCGUACGUGCAUGGCGUAUUGCUAUGGGCAGAAGGUCGGCCUGGUACAGCGUGGGCCUCAUACCCACCUGACCCCGGCCCAACACUUCGCGGAUCCAUCCGAACCGGCCCAGCCGACCCCAAGAGCUGAUUCAAACGAAGCUCUCUCGCCUUCGAGAUUUCGGCCGCCGACACGGCCAUCGUGGACGCCACCGGCGCCUGACGAGGGACACUCCGCCUCGCAUUCUUUCUCUUCUUCACAGUAACCCAAGACUCCGGUUGAAUCAUAUCGAAUAACGUAAGGUUUGGGAGACUCACCUUAGGUAUAGGACCUUUCCAAGGCCGUAUCGCCGACGCCGCCGUCUUGCGAUGAACGACUCGCCGGAGCAUCUCGAUCUUCUCGCCCGCGUGUAGACCGAUCCGUGCCGGAUCCUCCAGCGGCAGGACUCGAUCGAUCGUAGUGGCCACCUCAUCUUCGCUAUAACCUGACUGCAAAAAAUCGCAGAUGAUGUCUGAAGGAGUUGGAGAUAUCGGCGACUCCACCAGUGAUGCAUCUACAUCGUCGUCCGCUUCCUCCUCGUCGGAUUCGGCGAGAGCCGAAAAACGCCCGCCGACUCGCCGGCGACCACCGUUUAUGGAUGGCACCACCGCGGUCGGGCGCAUGAUCGCCCGCCCAGUCGCCCGUCCCGUUGCCAUAGCGAUUCCAGUGCGCUGCUCCAGUUUAAUCUUCCCCAAAGGCGAGGUCGCGUGUGGCUGAGCCACCGACUGCACUGGGCAUUCUUCAUCCGGAUCUUCUUUCGCCGGUGUUACCUCAACGCCCGCAUCAGCCAAAACAGAAACUCAUCCCCCGAAUUGCGGUUGUGAUCGCUUGGGAUCAUCCGUGAGAUCGAUGACCUCGGUAUGAUCAUGCGUCUCCGGAUCUUCCUGCAAGAAUGAACAAAUGGUAACAUCGAAAUAAUCAAUCAACAAACGCGUACCUUCAGAGAUCUCCUCUUCCUCGUUCAGGUAGCGGCCGCCUAGGAUAUCAUCGUCCAGGUCGCGCAGCACCAUCCAUCUCGAUGGGUAGUACGUAAAUAGGAUUCCCUCCGAUCGGAGACCGAUUGCCUGAACAUCCUCGAAGAGAAUUCUCCAUUUUGCAGGAUGCAGGAAACCCCCGAUCUGCGACGUCGACUCCGGAUCUCGUGAAUCGCCACAGUCCGGCGAUCGCGCCGGCAACUCUAUCGCCGGCGAUCCCUCGAGGGCUUCCGUCGUUGGCCUAGAUCGCUCCCCGGGGCCACCCUGGCCCCCGCCCCUCGGCGGAUGAGCCCUCAUGGACCUCAUGGACUGACCGACUGAACAAGGGCUUCCAUACAUCAUGUUGUUUUUAUUGUUGAUUUUCAUAUCCAGCCUCAUAGUCAAAGGAGAAGCAAGAAUUUAUAAAGUCGCCCCGCAAGCAAAAGCCAGAUUUCUUUUCUUUUCAGAGUUCACAUACAGCCAAGCAAUUGUUUCUUAACCAAGAAUUGCAGGGACAGAAUAAACUGCCCUUGUAGUCUGAUGCAACGUCAUUAAUUAGAAUAUUUCAAGAUAAAACGUUGUUUGUUGUCAGUAGAAAAAAUCAAGAUAGUCACUGUGGGAAUUGAAGAUCAAUGUUACAGAUUAGUAAGAAGCUUGGCGUUACUAAUGCACAUCCAAUUUCUAUGGUUACUGAUGUUAGAACUCGCGAGGCUUGGAAUGGAGCAGCGACGAAUGUGCCUUGUUGAGGAGGUCGAUGACGGUCUGCAAAUCCUGGGCAUCGAGCCAAGCCUGACCGCGACCGCCUUGCCUUAUCAUGCAGCAGGUAAGCCAUGAGGCGGCAGCCGCUUGGCUGCCACCCCUCUUCCAACAAAAGGUCGCCAGUUAUGAUUACCGUUUGUUAUAUGCAUGCAUGAGCUGUGCGUCUACAAACAAUUGUAUCUAAUAACAUCCAAAUACUCCUUUUUGACAAUAUGUGUUAUGUUGUUGGAAGGCAAACCACGCCAGGCUCUUCCUUGCCUUCCGAGAGAGAAUCGCCAAAUGUGCCACAUGCUUCUUGAAAUGUAUCAGAAUUGCAGUUUGUAUGUACCAUUUUGUUGUAUUAACGUACAUGUGAUCUCACUUUUAGAAUCGUCCGUGGAAUAAUCCUUCGGUCACUUAGUCCAACCCCAACUAGCGAUGCAUUCGUCCGAUUUUCUCCAUUUGGGUCCGUGCGGACAAAAACCGUGGCCCAACAGAAAGACCCAUUCCCAUUUUUGUUGAGUCCUUCCGGACCAAUUUCCGUCCCAAAUUUUCUCGUCAUUUGGGUUCAAAGCGGACCCAAACCGGACGUUCUUUGUGUCCUCCGCGUCCGGAUGUGUCCGCUGCUUCCAGGCCCUGGCCGGUCUGUCAUCGAAACAAGGGGGACCCACCCCACCCAUCUAUCCUCCUUCUCUCUCUCUCCCCAACGACGCGAUGGGCGUGGCGGCUCCAAUGGCGACUCGUCAGCGCAAGGUAAGGCGGGGCGGAGACACGACGGCGCAGAAAGGCAAGGCUGGUUGGCGGCGUGGGCGCUCGGGGCCACUCCGUCGCCCAGCUCCAUGGCACUGCCAGCGCACACGUGGCAACGAGCGGGCAGUCGGCGACAGACGCAGCUGAAGUGAGGGAGAUGAGCUCUGCGCCAUUGGCACGAGCGCGGGCAGCUUGUCGGAGGCAGCAUACUUGGAGAGUAGCACAAGGGCAGCGAGCCAGCGACUGCUUGAGGCCAGGAUCCGGUACAGCGUGGGGUGAUCUGAACGGUGGUGCGGUUGAGGAGGCCGGCGUCAACAGCGAUGGUUUCAGCCGUUGGCGGCGUACUACGGUGGCGGCGGUGCUCCUUCCUUCUCGAGAAGAGAAGAGAGAGGGAGGUGAGAUGAGGAAGAGAAAGAGGGAAGCAAGCAGAGCAGAAGAGAGCAGGCGGCUGCAACCUGGUGCUGUUGUGGGUCACCGGAGGAGCCAAAGGCGACCGUGCCGAGUGGCUCGGGCUGUUCUCGGGCGCGUGGAGGUGGUUUGCCGGCAUGGCCGCGGUGCUCCUCUCGGAAAGUGAUACCGAGGCUUCAACAAAACCGUGUCUGUUUCAAUUGGGUCUUCCGCGUUUGGUACAUCGGUGGUGUCCGGCUGUCCGGCCGCAUCCGGUUUCCGUUUUAGCGACCCAAAAUCCGUGUUUGUUUGGGUCGCUGCAUUGAAGUUGGCCUUGUGCUAUUCGACAAUAUGCUCAGCGCACUCUAUAACUCACAUAGCAUGCUAUUACAUGUGUCAUUGUAUUUGGUACACCGUGUGCAAUAUGUUUUUUCUGGUGACUAUAUAUCUACUAUCUAACCAAGUAUAAAGCUUCUUCAAAAGGUUUAAUCAUGUGCAUGGUGUUCCCGUGGAAAUGGAUGGGAAUCAUCUUAGUGUCUAUUAACAACUCAUACGAUAUUACUAACAUUUACAAGAAAAAACAUAAUUGAUGAGUCAUGUAUGCUUGUUCAUCUUACCAUCAUAUUACACAAAACUACGAAGUUAGUUUAGAAAGAAGCAGUCUAGAACAAUCUUCACAUUAAUAGCAUGAUCUGUCUUAACAACGCCAAGCAAGACUACAAACUUAGUUCCCCACAAGCUAUGCCAACCUGGAUGUGCCUAACAACUUGUAGAACAUUAUGAACUUAGUUUUAGAAAGGGGAUGUAAUCUAGAUAAGUGUUUUGCAUGUAAAAUGAAUAUGAUGAGUCAUUUGGAUUAUCAAGCUUUCCUGACACUCCAUGGAUGUGUGCUACCAGAAAGCAACUUUGGCGAUCAAUCCAAAAAUUACACUUGUAAGUAGCGCCACCGAACAAAACAUACCAAAGAAUCAGUUUGAUACGAGUAGAGGAACUUUACAAGAAAGCAAAUGUGAAGACGAAGAGAAAUCAUUUCAUGGCCGCUAUAAAUAGCCAUACACCAUGAAGACCCCCUCCCAUCCUCCAUCCUUCACACAUUUGGAGCACAAACAUUCACACUAAACAAUCAAGAGUAACCAAAAAUCCACCAUGAAGAUCUUCUUGGUCUUUGCCCUCCUCGUUGUAUCAACGAUCAUCACCACCGCGACCGCGCAGCUCGACCCUAGCAUCCAUGUACAAGAAAGGCCACAACAAUCGUUUCCGCAGCAGCAACCACUUACCCAACAACAACCAUUCCCGCUGCAAGAGCCACAACAACCACUAUUCCAGCAACAACAACCGUAUCCACAACAGUCACUUCGCCAACAACAACUUCCCCAGCAACAUUUAUUUCCGCAGCAACCGCCGCAACAACAAUUUCCAUAGUAGAUGCCACUUCCGCAUCAACAACAAAUAUUCCCGCAACAACAACAACCCCCACAACAACAACCAUUUUACCAAUAUCAACAACCAUUAACACAACAACCAUACACGCGAGAGCAACCAUUGCCACAACAACAACCUUCUGUGGAGGAAAACCAACAAUUGAACUUGUGCAAGGAGUUCCUGCUGCAGCAGUGCAACCCGGAGGAGAAAGUGUCAUUACUGCAGUCAAUGAUCCCGUUCCUCCGACCAAAGACCUCGCAACAGAACAACUGCCAGUUGAAGCGGCAACAAUGUUGUCGACAACUUGCACAUAUCAGCGAGCCGUCCCGAUGUCCGGCCAUCCACAACAUUGUGCACGCCAUCAUCAUGCAACAACAACAACAACAUGUGGAUAGAGGUUUCGUCCAGCCUCAACCACAACAGUUGGGCCAGGGAAUGCCCAUGCAGCCUCAACAUCAAUUGGGCCAGGGCUUAAGCCUACCUCAACAACUAGCCCAGUUCAAGUUGGUUAGGUUACUUGUGAUUCAGACCUUGCCUAUGUUAUGCAAUGUGCAUGUCCCAUCUGAUUGCUACACCAUUAGUGCACCAUUUGGUGGCAUCACUGCCUACAACGGUGGACAAUGAAAUCACAAGAGUUGUACUACUAUAUAGAUGGAACUUCAUUGUUUACUCGAUUGGACGAUCGAUGUAGCAAUGGAAAAAUAAAAUGUCAUGCACCAUCAUAUGCGUGACUGACACCAAUACAAGUUCAAAUUUGGGAAUAAAGGCAAACAAAAUAUUGCACGUCAUGCCCAUCUAAUUCAAUAGGAACUGCAAUCCAUCAAUUCCAUAUCAAUAUUUCACAAGUAUAUCAACUCAGGCUCAGCGUGCAAUGUGAAAAAAGGAGCCUCUUGAUCCGGAAAAUUUAGUUCAGGGAUCUCGCGCCCCUAAUCACCCCCAGCCACCAAAGUCCAUCGACGGCUGCCAGGAGGUAUGAUCUCAGGGUCAUGUCCUGGGUCGAUGAGUUGUACCAGCAUGUGUCGCCGUGUGACCUUUUCCAAAAAAUGUGUCCGUGUGUGGGUUCAUUGUAUAGGAAUGGGUCCCAGAGGGCGGUGUGUGUGCGAAUGGCUUUAAAGGCCAGGACCAUCUGCUUCGAGAGGCAUGUCAAUGAAUGAAUGUUCUGAAUCCCAUCUGUGUUCUUUUGGUCCUCACCUCCUUUCUCUGAUUCCUCACUCCAAUUCUCUCAAAAUAUCCCAAAUCUAUCCAAAUACCGAGCUCAUUUGUGCGAUCUCGAUCAACGACCGGGUCGUGACACUCAGCGAUGGAGCGGAGGGACACGUCCGAGGGAGGAGGCGUUGCUCAUAGGGUGGCAUGAGGCUCACACUGGCUCGAUCGCGGAUUUGUGGUGGAGGGCGUGGUCAUGGCCACGGCGUCAUCAUGUGCGUCCAUGUAUGGGCACGAGGCUGAGCCGUUCCUCCUCAGUACUGGCUGUUGCGCUAGCCUGGGCACCUCCUCGUUCCCAACCCAUCCUCACCCAUGCAGCCAUCGGCAUGGCCGCCCGUAAUUGCAGUGGUGAGCGGCGCCGGGAGUAGGGGUCAUGUCGUAGGGCGUCUUGUUGGGACCUACCCGGACGAACCUCUCUCUUUCUCUCUCUCUCUCUCUCUCUCUCUCUCUCUCUCUCUCUCUCUCUCUCUCUCUCUCUAUCGGACGGAGAUGGAAGAUGAAGAGGACACUGGAUUUUUCUCCGGCGACCAACGCCAUGCCGCACGAACGGGCCCAAUCGGCUUACUGCUGGCCGAUAGGCGCCAUUUUUCUUUUUCUGUUUUUGCUUUUAGUUGUUGUUUUCUAUUUAUUCUAGCUAUCAAAUGAAUUUNNNNNNNNNNNNNNNNNNNNNNNNNNNNNNNNNNNNNNNNNNNNNNNNNNNNNNNNNNNNNNNNNNNNNNNNNNNNNNNNNNNNNNNNNNNNNNNNNNNNNNNNNNNNNNNNNNNNNNNNNNNNNNNNNNNNNNNNNNNNNNNNNNNNNNNNNNNNNNNNNNNNNNNNNNNNNNNNNNNNNNNNNNNNNNNNNNNNNNNNNNNNNNNNNNNNNNNNNNNNNNNNNNNNNNNNNNNNNNNNNNNNNNNNNNNNNNNNNNNNNNNNNNNNNNNNNNNNNNNNNNNNNNNNNNNNNNNNNNNNNNNNNNNNNNNNNNNNNNNNNNNNNNNNNNNNNNNNNNNNNNNNNNNNNNNNNNNNNNNNNNNNNNNNNNNNNNNNNNNNNNNNNNNNNNNNNNNNNNNNNNAGUUUUCUCAAAUUGUUUCACAAAAAUGUGUAAACUAUUCUCCUCGAUAUUUUAACAUUUAUAAAAAAAUAAUCAAUUUGGAUAAAUAAAUUUAAACCCUAUCUAUAUUCACCAGGAGCUAUCAAAUAAAAUUGUAAAUAUGUGAUGUUCCAAAAAUUAGGAAAAUUUAUAUGUGGCUUGUUAAUAUUGCUAAUAAUUUAUGCAAAAAGUUUCAACACAAACCAAAUUCAUUUGAUAGCUAGAAUAAAUUGAAUACAACAACUAAAACCAAAAACAAUAAAAAAAAAUGGGCACAUGCACCUAUCGGCCAGCAGUAAGCCGACUGGGACUCUGGCUGACUAGAUCUUGACGGUCCCAAAUCGGCCAUCUGGUAGCCGACAGGGCACUUAUCGGCUUCCUCCUGGCCGAUUGGACCCAGUUGGCUACCAGAUGGCCGACUAUGUAUUAUUUUAAAAAUAAUAAUUUUAGAGUAAUAUUUCUUAAAAUUAAUUAAAAAUGUAUUAUUUUUAGAAAAUUAGCUCUUUCUUAGAGCUCAAACUCUGGCACACAUACAUGGAGACCGCCAUAUGGUGAGCACACAUACGCUCCCAGGGGCGACAUCUCUCUCCCUGGCUCCUAUACCCUCUACACAACAAUACAUGGGUUAUAUAGCCGGACUCGCACCAGGUGUUAGAGCAUCUUCAGCCGUUCGGCCCCCCAGAACGUCGAAAAAGCGUUGUCUAGGGCUGAACCAACGUAUCUUUUAGGUGUGGGGGGGAUUGUGUUUCCAGUCGCCGCCCCCAAGUCGCCCCCCAAAUUGGCGCAAACAGGGCGCAAAGUCAGCGAUUUGAUACAAAUUUACACAAACACAGCAUAAACUCGGUGAUUUUCAUUCAGAUUUGAACAAAAAAAUAGAGAAGAACUACACCUACCCUAGCCUAGCCUACUACACCGUUGCUGCCUUCUACAUCCUGAGAAGCCUGUAGAAACGGGUGUAGUCGCCGCCGCCGUCGUUGUCGUCAUCGCGCGCCCUGCUGGACGGCCCUGCUGCACCCCUGGCCAGGGUCGCCGACACGCGGUGGGGCGCUGGACGGCCCGGCCUCGUCCUCCUCGUCGCUGUCGAGGACGAUGACGCCGCCCUCCUCGCGCUCACGGCGCCGGGCCUGGAGCUCCUUGUAUGCUCGGCGCUGGUGGCACACCAGCUCACGGAGGUAGUCCUCCUUUGCCUAUUUUAGAGCGGUCUCGUCGUUGCGGGCUCCCACGCCGACGUGCUCCGGCUGCAGGCCCGGUGUCGGUGUCAAAACCGGCGGAUCUCGGGUAGGGGGUCCCGAACUGUGCGUCUAAGGUGGAUGGUAACAGGAGGCAGGGGACACGAUGUUUUACCCAGGUUCGGGCCCUCUUGAUGGAGGUAAAACCUACGUCCUGCUUGAUUUAUUCUUGAUGAUAUGAGUAUUACAAGAGUUGAUCUACCACGAGAUCGAAGAGGCUAAACCCUAGAAGCUAGCCUAUGGUAUGAUUGUAUGUUGUCCUAUGGACUAAAACCCUCCGAUUUAUAUAGACACCGGAGGGGGCUAGGGUUACACAAGGUCGGUUACAAGGGAGAAGAUAUACAUAUCCGUAUUGCCUAAGCUUGCGUUCCACGCCAAGUAGAGUCCCAUCCAGACACGAGACGAAGUCUUCAAUCUUGUAUCUUUAUAGUCCAACAGUCCGGCCAAAGGAUAUAAUCCGGCUGUCCGGAGACCCCCUAAUCCAAGACUCGCUCAGUAGCCCCCGAACCAGACUUCAAUGACGAUGAGUCCGGCACGCAGUGUUGUCUUCGGCAUUGCAAGGCGGGUUCUUAUCCAAUUUUCAAGUGUUCGUAAGCAGUGUCCGGCUCCAUAAAUGUUGAACCUCUUGGCUUCUGUGCCCAACAAGGGCUUUCUCCCACGCGUCGAAUGAAUACGAGGCACCAGGGCAUUUUUACAUUCGCCCCCCUAACCGGAUAAAUAAAUUGUCUAUUAAAGGGAUGGGGAUUCUUAGAUCCGAUCCAUACCAUCCUCCCCCAGCAAGAAUCCAUCAGAGCGCGUUUCGGAAAGAUCCAUUCCAGCAUGGCCGACCUCCGCAGCUCCUCCUCCCGCCCCCGUAGCCCUAAGCCCGGUGAUUGGGAGAGGUGUUCAGUCCCGUACAGUCGAUUAGUCGAACUGCAGACUAAGGGAUUUCGCCCUCCGGUGUAUAUGGUGCCCGUUUGAGCCGGGCUUGCCACCUACAAUGGCGGGGAGCAAGCGGAGAGCUUUUCAUGUCCCUCCAUGGGGGAACGGGUUUGCCUUGUUCCUUAUUUACUAAGGGGACUCGGAUUUCCAAUUCAUCCGUUUCUCCGCGGGCUCCUGGAGUUCUAUGGACUCCAAUUACACAAUCUCACCCCUGCGUCCAUUCUACAUGUCGUCGGCUAUGUUACUCUCUACGAGUUGUUCCUGGGAUGCGAGGCUCACUUCGAGCUGUGGAAAAGGCUAUUUUGCCUCGUCCCUCGCAUACCGGAUACCUGUCCAGUACCCCGAAGAAGUCUCCGAAGACUGGGCUUUAGAAUGGUUUUAUAUGGAGGACGUUCCUGUUCCGGACCCUGUUCGGCGGGAUCUUCCUAAGUUCAACAAUGCUCCUCUGAAGAAGCGCCGAAGUUGGCGCCCACGGAGCCCCCAGGCAGAAGACAACGGAGAAGUCCUCUAUCUGAUGAACCGAAUCAAAGCACUGGCUCAAUCAGGAUCGACAAUAAUCGAAGUUAUGUCGAUUUGCAUAAUGCGGGGAGUGCAGCCGAUUCAAUAUCGUGGGCACCCCUUGUGGUGUUAUAACGGGGCGGAUGACGCCACCCGCUGCGGGCGUAAGGGUCCGGACAAUGCUGCCGCUCUAGCGAAAAUUCUGUCCGAACUGUUCAAGGGUGAGGAAGAGGAGUUCACCCGCAUCAAGCCACGAGAUGGAUUCUCCAUGUACAAUCCUCCAAGCUAGGUAAGUUAUAUCUCCCUGCUCCCAUUUUCCCCGCAUUCUUUAUCGUAAGUAUUCACCUUGACACUUUGCGGCACGAACUGCGAAAAGCCAUAAAGGAGGUCAGCAGCCCUUCUCCACAACCAGAGGACCCUGACCGGGCCCUCGACUCCGAACUUGAAGAAGAUUCGGUUAUAUUCGUGGAGUUGAUAGACCUGCAGUUCUAUCAGUUAAGCUGCAACGAUGCCAUGGUGGCCAUUACGGCCGACUAUCCCGGACUGCUCCCUGCGUCACAAGUAAGAAAAACCAAAAAUCCCAACUCCAAAACUAGGAUCCCCGUUUAGACACUUCACCCACCAUAUACACAUGGCAUUUUACAGGGAAGGCAUUCGGGAUGCCCUGCCGAACCCACGUCAACGCGCCAACAGGAGGCAUUGAGGCCGGGUAGGCCAAAAAGGAAGGCGGUCGGGACGGAGCCGCGGGCGCAAAGGUAUAACAAACCCCGCUCCGUGGUUGUCGUCUUUCUCGAAAUGUAAUGACGCCCGUGUUUCUUUAACAGAAAAAACGCUCGCCGGAAUAUGUCCGGCGAUAUUGCCAAUCACGCUUCCACCAGUCGGGCGCCAGGACCGGACAUGGAGGCAGAAGCCGAUAUGGGGCAGGCGCCGGAUAAUCCCCCUACAGAGGAUGCAGAUAGAUUAUCUGCUACAAACUCGGAAGUGGAAAGCGCCAUGAAUCAUAGGCGCCGCCGGGCCGUACUCCGUGACGCUUGUUUCUCACCAGAUGCGUUUGACGCCUUCAAUUCUGGAGAGGCGUACCUCCGUGCUGCUCAAGAUGGUCUAGCCAGAGACACGGAUCAGUAUGUAAAGGAUGUACGGGUGAGUAAAUCUGACGAUUUAUAUAUAUCAGUAGCCCCUAAGACUUGAAACAGAUAGCAGAACUGAUUUAAGGAUCAUCUUUAUUGUGCAGGUUCUUACAGAGAAGAAUACUAGGCUGUCACAGGAGGUGGAGGAAUGCAAGACCCAACUGCGGCCUGCUGUGGCCGCAUUGCAGGAACCGAAAAAGUCACCUGCUGGUAAUAUUUCCUUUAAAGAAUGAUGGUUACCAUAUAACGUGUGGCAUGACUGCAGAUCUAACAACAGAUGUUGCAGAUGAAUCCGGAGAGAAUCCGGCGGACCAGCAUGUUAUGCGGCAGCUAGAGGCUGGCAAACGCGUGCUGACUGAGGUUAGGCGGGAGAAAAACAAUCUCCAAGAUGCCAAUAUUAAGCUGAGCGUGGAACUAAAAGACGUUCGGGGCCAGCUUGCAGACUCCGAGAAAGAGAAUAAGCGGCUUCGGCACGGCAUUUUCAGUAAGUGCUUGAACAAAUCCUUUUAAAGGAGUUCGGCGAAGAAGCCGACUAACAGCGUUAUGUCUGUAGGUAUGCUGACGGGUCGUCCCGCAGAGGAAAUGCCCGGGUCUGCGGGUGAUCUUCUGUCCGAGCUGUCACAUCUGCACGAACAAGUUCGGCAGGUGAUGCAGGGUGUUGCCCAGGCCUUGUGGCCGUCCGUCUCCCUGCCAGAGGGUGUUGUCGAGCUUGCGGAGAAGCUCAAGGGAGCACGGUGGCGCUUCCGAUUAUGGAAGAUAUCAGCCUGCCGACAGGGUGCCAGAGAAGCCUGGGCCAUGGUGAAGACGCGGUAUACCAAGGCAGACCCAAAUCACAUGGCCGAGGUCGGACCUGUGGGGCCCGACGGAAAAGAGAUCCCCAUUAGCUUAGUUUAUGGGCAAGUAGAAUUAGCCGCAAAGUAUUCUCAACAGGAUUAUAAGCUAGACCGCUUGUUGGAUGGUAUAGAAGAGGAAUUCAGUCAGUCUGCAUGACUAUGUAAUUAAAGUGACAUGUAUAAUGCCUUUUAGCCGGAUUGUAGAUCAUUUGUCGUUGCGGACCUUUUCGCUUCAACCUCCGGGCCCAAUAGUCCGGAGUGUAUCCGAAUACCCGCUCAGUUAUAUAAGAACCGGGGUAUGUGUGGAGACCAGGCGUAGGGGUCAUUAGCGCUUUAUCAGACAAGUGCCCAACUAGUUAUGUUAUAUUACAUGGGUAGUAAGAAACAUCUUCCAGGGAGAAUAGUUCCGUUAAGGGUUCCUUUCCCUGGGUAAGCAUGCCCUAAAGUGCAUGUCCGGAUUGCGAUAGGAAACACAGGAAAAACAUCUGGGGGCAGAUAUGGAUAAUAAAUAAAAAUCAUCUUUUGUUCACCGACCAAAUAUUCCCUUAAGAACGCUAGAUUUCGGCUUCACCCAGUCUGAGGUACACAUCCGGCUGACCCGGCAGUAACAAUCGCAGAGGUGCUCCCCUUAUGCCCUAGCCGAAUGAACGGGAAUAUAGGGCAUAAAUACAAGAGCCAGGCAACCUAGCUUGGCCAAAACUUAAAUCAUAUCGAUGCAUAUAAUGGUGAAAAAGGUACAUGCGGAAGUAUAACACAUGUGUGGGGCAUGAGGCCCAGAUAAAUAAUUUAAGCUUCUGUGAAAGAAGCCCCCAUGUAUGAAGAGUGCGGCUAGCGCAUCUGUAAUGUGCCAGCGAGGCACAAGGUGACCCUUGAAGGCCUAGAGAAAUAAUAAAAGAAAGAAAGAAAUAAAGAGAAACAAGACAGAUAAUGUAUAUGUGAAAAUGGACAAAGGGAGGGGACUAACAUAGAGUACGGUGCUAGACGUAGAAUCUUCGGAGCUUGGCCACGUUCCAUGGGUUCGGCUCGAGUCGACUAGUCGAUGCAUCCCGCAUUCGGUACGCUCCACCGGUCAGAACUUGGUCAAUAAUGAAGGGACCUUCCCAUUUGGGCUUGAGCUUGUUCUUUUUCUUAUCCGACAGGUGUAGAACUACUUCACCAACGUUAUAAGUUUUGGCCCGUACUUCUCUGCUUUGGUAUCUGCGAGCCUGUUGCUGAUAAAAUGCGGAACGGGCUUUUGCUACAUCGCGCUCCUCCUCCAGGGUGUCCAAACUGUCCUGCCGAUCGAGGUUGGCUUCUCUUUCUUCGUACAUGCGCACUCAAGGUGAGUCAUGAAUUAUGUCACAGGGCAAGACCGCCUCUGCGCCGUACAGCAUAAAGAAGGGUGUAUGUCCGGUACUAUGAUUCGGCGUGGUCUGCAGCCCCCAGAGUACAGAGUCGAGCUCCUUUACCUAGUGCGUGUUAGACUCCGUUAAGGAGCGCACUAAUCUGGGUUUAAUGCCGCUCAUUAUAAGAACAUUUGCUCGCUCGACUUGACCGUUGGUUUGUGGGUGAUAGACUGAGGCAUAAUCGAGCUUGAUGCCCAUUUUGCUGCACCAGAGUUUUACCUCGUCGGCCAUGAAGUUCGUGCCAUUAUCAGUAAUGAUGCUGUGGGGAACGCCAUAACGGUGUACAACCCCGGAUAUGAAGUCUAUCACCGGUCCAGAUUCGGCUGUUUUAACAGGUUUGGCCUCUAUCCAUUUGGUGAAUUUAUCCACCAUGACCAAUAAGUAUUUUUUCUUGUGGGUUCCCCAUUUAAGGGGUCCAACCAUGUCAAGCCCCCAGACCGCAAAGGGCCAUGUAAUGGGGAUUGUUUGGAGGCCGGUAGGUGGCAUGUGACUUUGAUUUGCAAAGAGCUGGCAACCGGCGCAGCGUUGGACCAAGUCUUGUGCAUCUGCCCGGGCCGUUGGCCAAUAAAAUCCUGUACGGAAGGCCUUGCUUACAAGAGCCCGGGCUGCGGCGUGAUGACCGCCGAGUCCGGCGUGAAUUUCUGCCAAAAGAUUCCGCCCUUCCUCUUCGGAGAUGCACCUUUGAAGGACUCCGGUAGUGCUUUUUUGUACAAUUCUCCCUCAUGGACCCUGUAGGCCUUGGAUCGCCGCACUAUGCAGCGUGCCUCAUUUUGGUCCUCCGGGAGUUCCUGUCUAGUUAGGUAGGCCAGGAAUGGUUUUGUCCACGGGGAAAUAAUGGUCAUUAUUUCGUGGGCUGAAGGUGUUAUUUCGGUGGCGGAGCCUCCGAUUGUGUCAGAAGUUCGGUAUCGGGUAUUUUGGCCGGGUCCGGACUGUUGUUACCGGUGUCCCCUUCCCAUACUACAGAUGGCUUGAACAACCUUUCCAAAAAUAUGUUAGGGGGACCACAUCACGCUUUGCACCGAUGCGGGCGAGGAUAUCCGCCGCCUGAUUGUUUUCCCGAGCCACAUGGUGAAAUUCGAGCCCCUCGAACCGAGCUGACAUUUUUAGGAUGGCGUUUCGAUAGGCCGCCAUUUUCGGAUCCUUGGCGUCGAAGUCUCCAUUUAUUUGGGAUAUUGCGAGGUUUGAAUCCCCACGCACCUCCAGGCAUUGAAUGCCCAUGGAGACUGCCAUCCAAAGACCAUGCAACAGAGCUUCGUAUUCCGCUGCAUUGUUGGAGUCUGUAUACAAUAUUUGCAAUACGUACUGAACGAUAUCUCCGGUUGGGGACGUCAGGACGACGCCAGCCCCUAGACCAGCCAGCAUUUUAGAACCGUCAAAGUGCAUGAUCCAAUUGGAGUAUGCGCCGUACUCUUUAGGGAGUUCGGCCUCCGUCCAUUCGGCAACGAAGUCGGCCAAUACCUGCGACUUAAUGGCUCGUCGAGGUUUGUAUGUUAUGUCGAACGGGAGGAGCUCAAUGGCCCAUUUGGCAAUCCGGCCCGUAGCGUCGCGGUUGUUUAUAAUAUCAUUAAGUGGCACUUCCGAGACUACUGUAAUCGAACACUCUUGAAAGUAGUGUCACAGCUUCCGUGAUGCCAUGAAUACCGCAUAUGCUAUCUUUUGGUAGUGUGGGUACCAUGAUUUGCAUGGAGUGAGGACAGUGGAUACAUAGUAUACCGGCUUUUGAAGAGGGAAUUUAUGCCCGUCUGCUUCCAGUUCGAAAACGAGCACCGCGCUUACAACUUGAUGAGUUGUCGCAAUAUACAAUAGCAUUGGUUCACCGAUGUUUGGCGCGGCCAGGAUUGGGUUGGUUGCCAAGAUGGUCUUUAUUUCUUCCAAUCCGGCUGUGGCCGCAUCCGUCCACUCGAAGUGUUCGGUGUGCCGAAGGAGGCGAUAAAGGGGUAAAGCCUUUUCUCCUAAGAGGGAGAUAAAGCGGCUUAGAGCUGCCACGCAUCCAGUUAACUUCUGGAUUUGUUUGAGGUCUGUUGGGGUAGCCAACUAUGAUAAAGCUCGGAUUUUGGCUGGAUUAGCUUCAAUACCUCUACUGGAGAAAUGAAACCCAGGAGCUUUCCGACUGGUACGCCGAAAACGCAUUUUUCCGGAUUGAGCUUGAUGUCGUAUGUUCGGAGGUUGUCGAAUGUGAGCCUCAAGUCGUCUAUCAAAGAGUCGACGUGUUUGGUUUUGACGACCACAUCGUCUACGUAUGCCUCUACUGUUUUGCCGAUUUGUUUCUCCAGACAUGUCUGAAUCAUGCGCUGAUAUGUUGCGCCGGCGUUUUUGAUCUCAAAAGGCAUUGUGUUAAACUAGAAGGGACCGUAUGGUGUGAUGAAUGCCGUUGCGGCUUGGUCGGACUCCGCCAUCUUGAUUUGGUGGUAACCGUAGUAUGCGUCGAGGAAACACAAUGACUCGUCUCCUGCGGUAGCAUCAAUGAUUUGAUCGAUGCGUGGGAGGGGGAAGGGAUCCUUUGGGCAAGCUUUAUUGAGGUCUUUGAAAUUGACACAAAGGCGCCAGGAUUUGUUCUUCUUUGAUACCAUCACCAGGUUUGCUAGCCAGUCUGGGUGUUUUAUUUCUCUGAUGAAUCUGGCCUCCAAUAACUUGGCUAGUUCCUCUCCCAUGGCCUGUCUCUUAAAUUCGGAGAAACGCUGAAGAGCUUGCUUGACCGGCUUAAAUCCCUUUAGGAUAUUGAGGCUAUGCUCGGCCAGCCUACGUGGGAUUCCUGUCAUGUCUGAGGGAUGUCAGGCGAAUAUGUCCCAGUUCUCGCGCAGGAACUCUCAUAAUGGGGUGUCCACAUCGGAGUUUAACUGUGCCCCGAUAGAGGCUGUUUUUGUAUGGUCCGUUGGGUGGACUUGGAAUUUGACUAUUUCAUCUGCUGGUUUAAAAGAGGUGGACUUCGAUCUCUUGUCGAGUAUCACGUCGUCCCUGUCCACCGUGGAUCGUAGCGUGGUUAAUUCCUUGGCCGAGAGAGCUUCGGAUAAUGCCUCGAGGGCCAAUGCGGCUAUUUUGUUUUCGGCAUGGAGCGCUGUGUCCGGAUCACUGGCGAGAGUGAUGAUUCCGUUGGGCCCGGGCAUUUUAAGCUUCAUGUACCCGUAAUGGGGUACGGCUUGAAAGAUUGUAAAUGCCUCCUAUCCUAAAAGAGCGUGAUAGCCACUGCUGAAUGGGGCCACUUGGAAUGUUAUUUCUUUGGACCUGUAGUUAUACGGCGUGCCGAAUACCACGUCUAGUGUGAUUUUCCCAGCACAACGUGCUUCUCAACUGGGGAUAAUUCCUCUAAAGGUUGUGCUACUUUGCUAGAUGUGGUUCCAAUCUAUUUCCAUCUUUUGAAGAGUUUCCUCAUAAAUGAGGUUUAGUUCGCUGCCGCCGUCCAUGAGUACUUUGGUGAGUCGAAAGCCGUCCACGAUUGGACUGAGGACCAGUGCGCCUGGUGCUCGGGCUGUUCAGAAUUUAGGUUCGUCACUGGCAUUGAAGGUAAUAGCCGUGUCACUCCAUGGAUUUAUUACUACUACGUGGCAGAUUUCGGCCAUGCCGCGGAGUGUUCGCUUGUGCCUAUUAUUUGACGCGAAGGUCUCAAACACUGUUAACACCGUAUUGUUAUCCACGGGAUGGUGGUCUGUGGUAUUUGGGAUAAGAAGAUCCUCACCACUUUUUGCCACCUGCCGGAGUAUCCAACAUGCUCUGAGGCUGUGCGUUGGUAUUAUAUCCGCUGUACUAUGAAUUUUGCAGGGUUCGUUGAGCCAUCCCUCUAGUACGGUUCCAUGCCCUGUAGAGGGUUUUUGUUUCUUUACAACUGGCUCGGGGUGUCUUAUGAUAGUGCACCCUUUUACUUCAGACUGGGUGUAUAUUCAGAGCCGGAUUAUCCCAAAAUUUCGUUUCGGUUUUCCAGGCGCUUUCCAUCUCACAGUACUUUCGUACUAUGGACGCCAAGUCAGCGAAGCGUGAUAUGUCACGGCGACUUAGGGCGUUAAGGAUUCCCUUGUCCGUGCAAUUAUUGCAGAAAAGUGAGACUGCAUCUUCCAGGUGACAGUCCUUAACCUUGUUCAAUAGAACGAGGAAUCUGGCCCAGUAAUGAUGUACUGUUUCAUGGGGCUCUUGCCUGAUGUGGGAAAGAUCGUUUAUGUUUGGGUGGGUGCGUGGAAUUGAAUUCUAACCCUUACCCGAUCUGGGAUCCAGGGGCCGAGGAGUUCCUAAUUUUGGAAGUUCCGGUUCUGGGGUGCUACCCGAUAAUCCUGGCCCGCUGCCUGACUCUAAGUUCAGGGAUUGGAUGUUGUCCUCCCGCGAACGGGCGUCCAGCUCGGAGAGCUCGGGAAUCCGGACAUAGUUGGUCCUCAAGAUAGAGGAAAGGUCGCCGCAUUGUUCCUCCAUCACCGCAAUAUGAUGGGUGACCGUUGGAGAGUUAAUCUCCCUUUGAUCGGGUUUAAACCCAAUCCGGUCAUAGUCCGUAGCGACUCCCAAGGCGGCGAUGCGAUCCAAGAGCUCGUUUAAGGAGGCGAGCUCCACUGGAUCCAUCUGUUCGGCGAGUGCCGAUUUGACGUGGAGGCUGUUUUUGAUGACCCGAGAAGCCAUCGUCGGCGCGGCGGCCGAACAGGCGGUCAUGAUGAAACCGCCUAGCCGGAGAGUUUGGCCGACAGCCAAAGCUCCCCUAACAGUAGUACCGUCUUUAAAGACGAGACCAGAAAUCCUUCCUUCUGGCGACGGCACAGAGGAACUCUCAAUGAAAGCACCAAUGUCGGUGUCAAAACCGGCGGAUCUCGGGUAGGGGGUCCCGAACUGUGCGUCUAAACCGGAUGGUAAUAGGAGGCAGGGGACACGAUGUUUUCCCCAGGUUCGGGCCCUCUUGAUGGAGGUAAAACCCUACGUCCUGCUUGAUUUAUUCUUGAUGAUAUGAGUAUUACAAGAGUUGAUCUACCACGAGAUCGAAGAGGCUAAACCCUAGAAGCUAGCCUAUGGUAUGAUUGUAUGUUGUCCUACGGACUAAAACCCUCCGGCUUAUAGACACCGGAGGGGGCUAGGGUUACACAAGGUCUGUUAUAAGGGAGAAAAUAUACAUAUCCGUAUUGCCUAAGCUUGCCUUCCACGCCAAGUAGAGUCCCAUCCGGACACGAGACGAAGUCUUCAAUCUUGUAUCUUCAUAGUCCAACAGUCCGGCCAAAGAAUAUAAUCCAGCUGUCCGGAGACCCCCUAAUCCAGGACUCCCUCACCCGGCUCGGGGUUCGUCCGGACUAGGCAGAGGGAGCGUGGGGAGGGACGGGAACCCUCGUUGAUGACAAGGGCGCCGCUGCGGGUGCGGCGCCGGAGCAUCGUCUCCUCCGGCUCCGGCUUGACGGGGCAGAGUGCCGGUGAGCCGGAGCAGACGGAGUCGGAGCCCGACGACGAGGACGCCCCUGGCUCCAUUCGCCGUGGCGUCCAGGAGCUGCCACGGUGGCGAGAGAAGGACGGGCGAGGCGGGUACUCGAGGCGCGGCAGUUGGCGGUCUCGAUGUAGUCGAGGACGGCCUCGAGCGUGCGGCCUAGCACGCCCCACCACUCGCGCCGCCCGUCGGCGUUAAUGUGACCGCAGGGGAUGACGCCGUUGGUGGAGGCGAUCUGUUCUUCACGGUGGCGCGCGAAGUACAUGGUCCACAUCGUGUGGUUGUCGGCGGCGUACCUUGACUUGUUCCGCUGCUCCGGCGGCAGGGACGAGCGGAUGCGGGCGAUCUCGGCCCGCCGUGCCGCCCUUCGGGCACCGGUGGCACCGGGACGCCGGCGGCGCUCAGCCUCCACGUACCCGGCACACGCAUGUUCGGGGGCGCCGGAUACUCGGCCUCGUAGAGGAGGCACGCCUCUGGCUCUUGGAGAUGGCGGCGGACGAAGCCGUUCGUCGCCGCGCCGUCGCUAGGGAACCUCUCAACCAUGUGCUCGUCGCUACGAUUGCGCGAGGACAUAUUUCCCUUCUUGAAAACACUGCUGCCGAAGAAGUCGACUUAGUUUUAUUUCAUAUCUUGUAAUGGUUUGACCAUGGUUGCCUUUGUUUUAUAUUCUACUGAAUAAUUAAUAAAUAUGGUUGUGUGCAUCACAAUGAUGCAGAGGUUAACCUACGUUUAAAUAAAAUCAACCUAGUGUCUAGCAGUAUUCUCCAACAGAAACUACAAUCCAUCAUUUUUCUUUUGCACAUCUUCCCCAUCUAAUUUCCGUGUUGAUGAUUGUACUAGUUGAUUUUACUCUACACUUGUCAGCCUGUAUAACUAGUUGAUAUUAUUGCACGCAAUAGGAAGGAAUGUAGUGCAUAUAGGUAAGUCUGUAGCAAUCCUUUUCUAAUAAAUAUUGUACUACUAAAGUAAGUUGUGAAGACUAAUUGCUAUUCAACACUUUGAUGGCAAUGCUAAGGAGUUGUGUGAAAAUCUUGAAUGAUCUGCUUCUUGUAUCUGAUUCUAAAUAAAUAGUAUACGUUAGAUUUUAUUGUAAAGAUCAGCUGCUUCUAUCCUUAUACUCCAGCAUCUUCCUUUCUGAAAGUGUGUUCAAUAAAUAUUUCUCCACGAAAAUGAACUUAAGUGGACAGAAAAUAUUUUGCAGCUGUUCACUACAAAGGAUAUUGUGCAACUAUCCAUUCAGAAGAAAAAAUAUGUUCUACAAAACAUAACUCUGUCUAAAUUUAGCCAGUUAAGAUCCCAUCUGAGAUGGUUAAGUACAACAGCCAAAAUUGCGUUGCUUGUACGAUCCUGGUUACUUUAGCCAUUAUUAGGGUACAUGGAGUAUAACUAGACAGUUUCAGCGCCUCUUCUUGUCUGCUUUUGCAUCACCAGAUUUCGAUGGGCUUGCGACCAGGUAGAUAAACACGCCAACAAAGGAAACAACAGAUGCCAACGUCCCAUAUUUCCCAACAAUGCUCUGCAGAUGAAUGGUUGAUCCGUCAGUCGCUAAAUGACGGUUGAUUCAGGCUUCCUAUUUGGAUGUAAUACUAGAUAAGUUGGUCCAAGAACAGAGUAUAGUGAAACUACCUUAGCCUGAAAUGUUCCAUGUGCCAAAUUAAGGUGGAUACCAAUGAGUGAAGUGUCAGCACCAAAGAUAUAGCAUAUCCAAAUAUUAGAAUCAUGAAAGGUUUCGUUUUGAACUGAAUGCAGCGAUAUGAUAACUAACCAAUUCAAAUUUCUGCUGCGGAGGUUUCUCAGCAAGAAUAUCAAAUGGAAGGACGGGCGUAGAAUAUGCCUCCUUCAAUAAAGAAAAAGAAGCUAUUAAGUUCAGGGAACAUAAUAUUAGAAAAUAGCACAGCACAUAAUGAGAAUUAGCAGAAAAUAUUCAGCUUCUCACCAGUCACAUGUUCUACUAACAUAUAAAACAAUCAGAAUCCUGAUUGAUUUUUGGUACAGUGUGACCAAUUAUCUGAACAUGCCAGUUGAGUUUUCUAGUCAGACAUAAAGCUUUCACCGCAUAAGUCGCAUAAACUGGAACAAAGCUAGAUUGCAGCCUUCAUGACUCAAGAUGGCAACGGGGACGAAACCCAUCGGGUUUUGCCUUCCCAAACCCAUCCCCACGAAAAAAUCAUAAACUCGUCCCCGUCCCCAUCACCGUGUGCGGGGCUAGUUUUCUGCCCGUCCCCUAAACCCAUCGGGUUUCAGGGAACCCACGGGGAACCCACGAUAAAAUCAAAAUAUUUAAACAAACAUAGUGGUGACAAAGAAUAACACUUUAGCAGCAAAACAGGCACAUUUCAGCAGCAUAAAUUGAGUAAAUUUCAACAAAAAACAAUAGUAGAUGGUUCAACAGCUAUAUAAGUUCUGAAAUAGAACUUUUAGUUCACAAAUCACUUUAAAGUUGGAAUCAUUAUGGCAUCUUUCACAUCUCCAAGCCUCCAAACAAUCAUCUUCAAAUCUUCCAAUGCCAAAUCAAAGUGCCAAGUACUAGAGAAGAUCAAAACUCGCUCAAGCUAAAGUUAAACAUGAGAAAAAUAUGCAGAUUAGUAUAUGAAAUUUGCAAGUACUUGUACUUCAGCUGCAUUCCCUCUUGAAUGUCUUGAAGACAACUUCAAAAGCUUUGUCCUUAUUCAUUGUCAGCAUAUAUGAGAAUCAUAUAAGUAGUAAUGAACAUCUUAUGAAACAUUGCAGCAAGAUAAUGAUAAACUUUAUGAUGAUAUGUAAAGAAAGACACACCUUUAUAUUUGUUUCUUAUCCAAUCUUGUGAACACAUCAAGGCCUCUUAGAUUUCGGGGGUAAGAUGACUACGGUGAUAAUAAAAAUAAUGUAAUUUCGCGGGUAUUGCCGGGUUUCGGCUUCGAGGACUACCGAAACGGGUGUAAACCCACGAAACGUGUCGGGUUGUAUAAUGUGCCCAACAACAGCCCCGCGGGGAUGAAAAGAUGCCCAUCCCCGUCCCCUAAUAAGGUAAAAACAAAUGGAGACGCGGGUUUCGGGGCCCCAUUGCCAUCUUGAACCACCUCCGUCGAGAGCCGCUUGACGGCCACCUCCGAACGCGCGGCUGCAGCCCAUCCAUGGUGUCCGUCUAGAGCCUUACGAUGGCCACCGUCAAGCCGGGAGCACGGGAUCCACACCUCCGACGGGCAACGAGCAGUGCCAACCCUCCUCGUAGUCUGAUGAGCCACCGUGGGUUCACUGGCCACAGUCCUGUGGCUCCCGGUUGAUCGGGGGAUGAGCCAGCUAGCCCGAGGUGAACUGGACGAUGCGUGCACGCCAAGUGACCACAGCACCGGCUGGUCUCUUAGGCCAACUACCACGCGUGCAGGCAGUGCCGUUUCACCAUGUGUCCGCCGCGGCUGUUGAUGACCUCCCGCAUCAAUCUGCCGGUCGGCUGGAUACGGCGACCCUGCGAUGCACACAUUGGGAGGAGGUGAGCGGGCCGUGGUGGGGAGCAGGAGCAGCUGUGGUGUGAAAGGAUUGCCGCUUCCAACGCAAAUCACACCAAAAUCCCUCAGAUGAGCUUAACGCAGUUCACUUCGCCAUUCUUUUGCAAUGUUUUUUGAUGAUUCUGUGAUCCUGACCAACCACUUCUGUUUAAUUCGAUACAGUCCUACAAGACUCAAGAUGGCAACGAGGACGAAACCCAUCGGAUUUUGCCUUCUUAAACCCAUCCCCACGAGAAAAUCGUAAACCCGUCCCCGUCCCCAUCACUGUGUGCGGGGAUAGUUUCCCGCCCGUCCCCUAAACCCAUCGGGUUUCAGGGAACCCACGGGGAACCCACGAGAAAAUCAAAAUAUUUAAACAAACAUAGUAGCGACAAAGAAUAACAUUUCAGCAGCAAAACAAGUAUAUUUCAGCAGCAUAACUUGAGGAAAUUUCAACAAAAAACAAUAGUAGAUGGUUCGACAACUAUAUAGAGUGUAUUUCAGCAGCAUGAUACCACAUUUCAGCAACAAAGAUGAUUAGAUUACAGCAACAAGGAUGAUCGUAUUUCAGCCAUACAUGGUUCAACAACAUGUGCAAUUACACAAGUUCUAAAAUAGAAUUCUUGGUUCACAAAUCACGAGCACAAACGAGACGGAGCAAGCGAUACUGGCCACCCAGCGAGGGGUUGGUUUGGCCUUCUAUGUUGGGGGUGGGGGCUCGGUAGCUUUGGGUUGGGCCGCGUAGGAUCAGAUCUUGGUAAAAAAAUGUAUUUUGUCGGGUUUGCUGGGUUUCGGGUUCGGAGACUACCGAAACGGGUGCAAACCCACGAAACGUGUCGGGUUGUAUAAUGUACCCAACAACAGCCCCGCGGGGAUGAAAAGACGCCCAUCCCCGUCCCCUAAUAGGGUAAAAACCCACGGGGAAGUGGGUUUCGGGGCCCCAUUGCCAUCUUGAUUCAUGACAACACGGCAUUUGAUAACUGCGGGAGAACCCUGAAACUUGCCCUGCGCUUUGGUCUCCACUCUCCAAGACAGUUGUGGGAUGUCGUUGAACCGCUGGCCAUACAAACAGAAGGUACAUACCAAAGCGACUUUGCCGCUCAAUCCAAAAUUACACUUGCAAGUAACUCCACCAAACAAAACAUACCAAGGGAUUAGUUUCAUAAGAGUAUUAGAACUUUAGAAGAAAGCAAAUGUAAAGAUGAAAAUAUAUCAUUUCAUGUCAGCUAUAAAUAGCCAUACAUCAUGAAGACCCCCUUCCAUCAUCCAUCCUUCACAUAUUUAGAGCGCAAGCAUCCAAACUAAACAGUCAAGCGUAACCACAAAUCCACCAUGAAGAUCUUCUUGGUCUUUGCCCUCCUGGUUGCCACAACGAUCAGCAUCACCGCCACUGCGCAGCUCGACCCUAGCGUCCAUGACUUAGAAAGGCCACACCAAUCAUUUCCACAACAGCAGCCACUUCCCCCGCUACAACCAUUCCCGCCGCAAGAGCCAUAACAACCAUUUCCGUUGCAGCAACCACAACACCUGCAACAACAACCACUUCCCCAACAACAUCUAUUUCCGCAGCAACCGCCACAACAACAAUUUCCACAGCAACAACAAACAUUCCCGCAACCUCAUCAACAACCACAAUUCCCGAAACAACAACCAUUUUACCAAUAUCAACAACCAUUUACACAACAACCAUAACCGAAAGAGCAACCAUUGGCACAACAACAACCUUGUGUAGAGGAAAGACAACGACUGAACUUGUGCAAGGAAUUCCUCUUGCAGCAGUGCAACCCGGAGGAGAAGGUGUCGUCACUCCAUUCGAUGAUCCCGUUCCUCUGACCAAAGACCUCGCAACAGAAUAGCUGCCAGUUGAAGCGACAAGAAUGCUGUCGCCAACUUGCACAUAUCCAUGAGCAGUCUUGAUGCCUGGCCAUCCAAAGCCCUGUGCAUGCCAUCAUCGUGCAACAACAACAACGACGACAACAACAACAGGUUGAUAGAGGUUUUGGCCAGCCUCAACCCACCACAAUUGGGCCAGGGAAUGCCCAUGCAACCUCAAUAGCCACUGGGCCAGGGCUUUAUCCUACCUCAGCAACUAGCCCAGUUUAAGUUGGUUAGGUCACUUGCGAUUCAGAUCCUGCCUAUGUUAUGCAACGUGCAUGUCCCGUCUGAUUGCUACACCAUUACUGCAUAUUUUGGUAGCAUGACUGCCUGCAGCUGUGGACAAUGAAAUGACAAGAGUUGUACUACCACACAGGUGGACCUUCAUUGUUUACUCGAUUGGACAAUCG
RNAcentral lists this long non-coding RNA (25725 nucleotides) under Triticum aestivum (bread wheat). RNAcentral describes it as "long non-coding RNA (TAES_LNC000090)". The record is from RNAcentral. Lineage: Eukaryota; Viridiplantae; Streptophyta; Magnoliopsida; Poales; Poaceae.